UGUCCAGCCUACGUCUACCAUGCAGUCGAGCGGAUGACGGGAGCUUGCUCCUUGAUUCAGCGGCGGACGGGUGAGUAAUGCCUAGGAAUCUGCCUGGUAGUGGGGGACAACGUUUCGAAAGGAACGCUAAUACCGCAUACGUCCUACGGGAGAAAGCAGGGGACCUUCGGGCCUUGCGCUAUCAGAUGAGCCUAGGUCGGAUUAGCUAGUUGGUGGGGUAAUGGCUCACCAAGGCGACGAUCCGUAACUGGUCUGAGAGGAUGAUCAGUCACACUGGAACUGAGACACGGUCCAGACUCCUACGGGAGGCAGCAGUGGGGAAUAUUGGACAAUGGGCGAAAGCCUGAUCCAGCCAUGCCGCGUGUGUGAAGAAGGUCUUCGGAUUGUAAAGCACUUUAAGUUGGGAGGAAGGGCAGUAAGUUAAUACCUUGCUGUUUUGACGUUACCGACAGAAUAAGCACCGGCUAACUCUGUGCCAGCAGCCGCGGUAAUACAGAGGGUGCAAGCGUUAAUCGGAAUUACUGGGCGUAAAGCGCGCGUAGGUGGUUUGUUAAGUUGGAUGUGAAAGCCCCGGGCUCAACCUGGGAACUGCAUCCAAAACUGGCAAGCUAGAGUACGGUAGAGGGUGGUGGAAUUUCCUGUGUAGCGGUGAAAUGCGUAGAUAUAGGAAGGAACACCAGUGGCGAAGGCGACCACCUGGGACUGAUACUGACACUGAGGUGCGAAAGCGUGGGGAGCAAACAGGAUUAGAUACCCUGGUAGUCCACGCCGUAAACGAUGUCAACUAGCCGUUGGAAUCCUUGAGAUUUUAGUGGUCGCAGCUAACGCAUUAAGUUGACCGCCUGGGGAGUACGGCCGCAAGGUUAAACUCAAAUGAAUUGACGGGGGCCCGCACAAGCGGUGGAGCAUGGUGGCUUAAUUCGAAGCAACGCGAAGAAUCCUUACCAG
RNAcentral lists this ribosomal RNA (948 nucleotides) under Pseudomonas sp. BYS1. RNAcentral's name for it is "bacterial SSU rRNA". It matches the Rfam family "Bacterial small subunit ribosomal RNA", at positions 40 to 977 of the family's 1533-position model. The record is from RNAcentral. Lineage: Bacteria; Pseudomonadati; Pseudomonadota; Gammaproteobacteria; Pseudomonadales; Pseudomonadaceae.